GAAGAGGCAAGACCAAUAAAAUAUGUUGUUAGUCGCUACUUGAAGUAUCAAAUGGUAGAUGAAAGGUCCAUGAAGACUCAAUGUAAAGAUUGUUCAUGAGAUCAUCACUGAAGGUAUGCAUUUAGAUGAAUAUUUUUAAAUUGCUUUUAUUAUUGACAAAUUGCCCAUAGUUUAAAAGUUUUAGUUUUUUUUUUUGUUUUUCCAUAAAUAAAAGAAUUUUUGAUUGAGAGUGUGAUUAUGCGCCUUCG
Molecule: long non-coding RNA, 248 nt
Filed under: Lathyrus oleraceus (garden pea)
Lineage: Eukaryota; Viridiplantae; Streptophyta; Magnoliopsida; Fabales; Fabaceae
Description: Pisum sativum (pea) long non-coding RNA (PSAT_LNC023713)
Source: RNAcentral